This 252-nucleotide ribosomal RNA is filed under the name uncultured bacterium. RNAcentral's name for it is "partial 16S ribosomal RNA". It matches the Rfam family "Bacterial small subunit ribosomal RNA", at positions 524 to 776 of the family's 1533-position model. The record is from RNAcentral.
UACGUAGGGCGCAAGCGUUGUCCGGAAUUAUUGGGCGUAAAGCGCGCGCAGGUGGUGGAUUAAGUUGUGGGUAAAAGGCAAUGGCUCAACCAUUGUAAGCCUGCAAAACUGGUUCACUUGAGUGCAGGAGAGGGGAGUGGAAUUCCCGGUGUAGCGGUGGAAUGCGUAGAGAUCGGGAGGAACACCAGUGGCGAAGGCGACUCUCUGGCCUGUAACUGACACUGAGGCGCGAAAGCGUGGGGAGCGAACAGG